This 1232-nucleotide long non-coding RNA is filed under the name Prunus persica (peach). RNAcentral's name for it is "long non-coding RNA (PPER_LNC005801)". Lineage: Eukaryota; Viridiplantae; Streptophyta; Magnoliopsida; Rosales; Rosaceae. The record is from RNAcentral.
AAUAAGCAACACUAGACUAGACUUAAGUCCAUUGUGCUGUUUGGUACAAGACUAUACUGGACUGCAUUGGACUUGAAUAUUUUUUAUAAUUUUUUUUUUUGUGUUUAUUCAAUAUAAAAAAUAAUUAAUUUUAUGAAAAAAACAUGCGCACAUAAUUUAAAGUGAGAAAGCCCCAUCACAUACUACUUAUUUGCUUUUACCCCACCACAGUAAAACAUGUCCAAAUAUAACAAAGUAAAAACUCACCAAUCCAAUCCGGAUUGGACCUAUGUCCAAUUAUUUGGACUCAUCUAGUCCAAUCUAGCCCACCAUGGGGUCAUAAUUCAUACUCUUAGAAAUGUUAGUUGAUAGAUGAUACUUUUUUUGUGUGUGGAGAAAUUCUAGGAUUGCAUUCAUAAUUUAGCAACAAAAAAAAAACCACUGGCCACAAAGGGCCAAUACAAACUAGCCAUGAAGGGUCAUUACAAUAACAGAGCGAUCUAACAUUAAAAGUAAGACAAUCAGAUGUUCCUCCCGUAACGAUCAGGCAUGAUUGAAAAAACUCUGGCGUAUGCAUCCCAACUAAGAUUGCAAACUCAAAAUAAUUAUAAAAAAAAGAUAAAACUUGAAAAAACUAAGGCAUAACAAUACAAAUAAAACUCUUACAAAGGAGAGAGGAAAAGCUCUCACAAAGGGGAGGUGGAAAGCUCUCACAAAAGGAGAGGUGAAAACUGCAUAGAGAACUCAAAGAGCCUUUGCGACUUAUUCCAAAUAUAAAGAAAUCACAAAAAGAAUGGUGGUGGAAAUCCAAUGCCGAAAUGCAUGUGGAGAUCCAACAAUGAGACGUAACUGCCUGUGAUGGUUGGAUAAAAAUCAUAACAAAACGAAGACAAAUAGAGGAAACCUUCUGUCUCUGCAAAUGAAGGAAGAGUAUAAAGGAGGAAGAGAAGAGGGGAAAGGGGAAGGGAGGAAGAACAGUGGCUUCCUCCCGCUCAAAGUGAAAAUGGAUGUAAGAGUGUUUUUUAGGAGAGAGAGAGGGGGCUAGAGUUUCUUUGGAGGUUUACGCACUCAUUGAUUGUUUGUUGAUAGAUGAUAUUUAAGCUGCAAAACUUCACUAAUACUAUAAUUAUUACUAGUUCUUUGGCACACGCUCCAAUUGAAUUUUUUUUUUUACUUGUGAUAUAUAACUUUUUUUUAAUAUUCAACAGGUUUGAAGGUAGUUAUUUUUUUAUUUAUGGACAACUGUAGUACUG